AGCGGCGGACGGGUGAGUAAUGCUUGGGAAUCUGCCCAAUAGUGGGGGAUAACGUGUGGAAACGCACGCUAAUACCGCAUACGUCCUACGGGAGAAAGCAGGGGAUCUUCGGACCUUGCGCUAUUGGAUGAGCCCAAGUCAGAUUAGCUAGUUGGUGGGGUAAUGGCUCACCAAGGCGACGAUCUGUAGCUGGUCUGAGAGGAUGAUCAGCCACACUGGGACUGAGACACGGCCCAGACUCCUACGGGAGGCAGCAGUGGGGAAUAUUGCACAAUGGGCGAAAGCCUGAUGCAGCCAUGCCGCGUGUGUGAAGAAGGCUCUAGGGUUGUAAAGCACUUUCAGUGGGGAGGAAAAGUUCAAAAUUAAUACUUUUGAACCUUGACGUUACCUGCAGAAGAAGCACCGGCAAACUCCGUGCCAGCAGCCGCGGUAAUACGGAGGGUGCGAGCGUUAAUCGGAAUUACUGGGCGUAAAGCGCGCGUAGGUGGUUUGAUAAGCUAGCUGUGAAAGCCCUGGGCUCAACCUGGGAACUGCAGUUAGAACUGUCUGGCUAGAGUAUAGUAGAGGGUGGCGGAGUUUCCUGUGUAGCGGUGAAAUGCGUAGAUAUAGGAAGGAACAUCAGUGGCGAAGGCGGCCACCUGGACUAUUACUGACACUGAGUGCGAAGCGUGAGGAGCAACACAAUAGAUACCCUGGUAGUUCCCACGG
This 708-nucleotide ribosomal RNA is filed under the name uncultured bacterium. RNAcentral's name for it is "bacterial SSU rRNA". It matches the Rfam family "Bacterial small subunit ribosomal RNA", at positions 94 to 802 of the family's 1533-position model. The record is from RNAcentral.